GUGGGGAAUCUUAGACAAUGGGCGCAAGCCUGAUCUAGCCAUGCCGCGUGAGCGAUGAAGGCCUUAGGGUUGUAAAGCUCUUUCAGGGGGGAAGAUAAUGACGGUACCCCCAGAAGAAGCCCCGGCUAACUCCGUGCCAGCAGCCGCGGUAAUACGAAGGGGGCUAGCGUUGUUCGGAAUUACUGGGCGUAAAGCGCACGUAGGCGGGUAUUUAAGUCAGGGGUGAAAUCCCGGAGCUCAACUCCGGAACUGCCUUUGAUACUGGGUACCUAGAGUAUGGAAGAGGUAAGUGGAAUUCCGAGUGUAGAGGUGAAAUUCGUAGAUAUUCGGAGGAACACCAGUGGCGAAGGCGGCUUACUGGUCCAUUACUGACGCUGAGGUGCGAAAGCGUGGGGAGCAAACAGGAUUAGAUACCCUUGUAGUCC
RNAcentral lists this ribosomal RNA (425 nucleotides) under uncultured bacterium. Its description in RNAcentral is "bacterial SSU rRNA". It matches the Rfam family "Bacterial small subunit ribosomal RNA", at positions 354 to 796 of the family's 1533-position model. The record is from RNAcentral.